UACGUAGGGAGCAAGCGUUGUCCGGAAUCAUUGGGCGUAAAGCGCGCGUAGGCGGCCUCAUAAGUCCGUUGUGAAAGUCAAAGGCUCAACCUUUGAAAGCCGAUGGAUACUGUGAGGCUAGAGUCCGGAAGAGGCGAGUGGAAUUCCUGGUGUAGCGGUGGAAUGCGCAGAUAUCAGGAGGAACACCAAUAGCGAAGGCAGCUCGCUGGGACGGUAUUGACGCUGAGGCGCGAAAGCGUGGGGAGCAAACAGG
Molecule: ribosomal RNA, 253 nt
Filed under: uncultured bacterium
Lineage: Bacteria
Description: partial 16S ribosomal RNA
Rfam family: Bacterial small subunit ribosomal RNA
Source: RNAcentral